RNAcentral lists this ribosomal RNA (544 nucleotides) under uncultured bacterium. Its description in RNAcentral is "bacterial SSU rRNA". It matches the Rfam family "Bacterial small subunit ribosomal RNA", at positions 29 to 568 of the family's 1533-position model. The record is from RNAcentral.
ACGAACGCUGGCGGCGUGCCUAACACAUGCAAGUCGAACGGAACUUACCGAAUGAAGCUUUCGGGUGGAUUUUGAUAAGUUUAGUGGCGGACGGGUGAGUAACGCGUGAGUAACCUGCCUUCAAGAGGGGAAUAACGUUCUGAAAAGAACGCUAAUACCGCAUAACAUACGGAUGUCGCAUGGCAACCGUAUCAAAGAUUUUAUCGCUUGAAGAUGGACUCGCGUCCGAUUAGCCAGUUGGCGGGGUAACGGCCCACCAAAGCGACGAUCGGUAGCCGGACUGAGAGGUUGACCGGCCACAUUGGGACUGAGAUACGGCCCAGACUCCUACGGGAGGCAGCAGUGGGGAAUAUUGGGCAAUGGGCGCAAGCCUGACCCAGCAACGCCGCGUGAAGGAAGAAGGCUUUCGGGUUGUAAACUUCUUUUGUCGGGGACGAGUAGAAGACGGUACCUGGCGAAUAAGCCACGGCUAACUACGUGCCAGCAGCCGCGGUAAUACGUAGGGUGGCAAGCGUUGGUCCGGAUUUUACUGGGUGUAAAAGGG